This 253-nucleotide ribosomal RNA is filed under the name uncultured bacterium. Its description in RNAcentral is "partial 16S ribosomal RNA". It matches the Rfam family "Bacterial small subunit ribosomal RNA", at positions 524 to 776 of the family's 1533-position model. The record is from RNAcentral.
UACGGGGGGGGCAAGCGUUGUUCGGAAUUACUGGGCGUAAAGGGCUCGUAGGUGGCCAACUAAGUCAGACGUGAAAUCCCCAGGCUUAACCUGGGAACUGCGUCUGAUACUGGAUGGCUAGAGUUUGGGAGAGGGAUGCGGAAUUCCAGGUGUAGCGGUGAAAUGCGUAGAUAUCUGGAGGAACACCGGUGGCGAAGGCGGCAUCCUGGACCAACACUGACGCUGAGGAGCGAAAGUGUGGGGGGCGAACAGG